CCUACGGGGGGCAGCAGUGGGGAAUAUUGGACAAUGGGCGAAAGCCUGAUCCAGCCAUGCCGCGUGUGUGAAGAAGGCCUUCGGGUUGUAAAGCACUUUCAGUGGGGAAGAAAGCCUUGGGGCUAAUACCCUCGAGGAAGGACAUCACCCACAGAAGAAGCACCGGCUAACUCCGUGCCAGCAGCCGCGGUAAUACGGAGGGUGCGAGCGUUAAUCGGAAUUACUGGGCGUAAAGCGCGCGUAGGCGGUCUGAUAAGCCGGUUGUGAAAGCCCCGGGCUCAACCUGGGAACGGCAUCCGGACCUGUCAGGCUAGAGUGCAGGCGAGGAAGGUAGAAUUCCCGGUGUAGCGGUGAAAUGCGUAGAGAUCGGGAGGAAUACCAGUGGCGAAGGCGGCCUUCUGGACUGACACUGACGCUGAGGUGCGAAAGCGUGGGUAGCAAACAGGAUUAGAUACCCCAGUAGUC
Molecule: ribosomal RNA, 465 nt
Filed under: Vreelandella stevensii
Lineage: Bacteria; Pseudomonadati; Pseudomonadota; Gammaproteobacteria; Oceanospirillales; Halomonadaceae
Description: partial 16S ribosomal RNA
Rfam family: Bacterial small subunit ribosomal RNA
Source: RNAcentral